Non-coding RNA from Microcebus murinus (gray mouse lemur), 1642 nucleotides. NCBI's taxonomy places the organism in Eukaryota, Metazoa, Chordata, Mammalia, Primates, Cheirogaleidae. The record is from RefSeq and is a predicted model, not a curated record.
CAGCAGGGCUACCAGGAGCAGGAUGAGGGCAGCAACCCCUACAGUGGUCCAGGAACUGCAGCAAGCAGAACAGGGAGGUGGUCACUAACAAACACACUGGUGCCUGGAAUUUCCUGCCUAUUGAACACACUCUCUCCCAGCGCUGUGUAAUUCGUACAUAAUUCUGCCUCUGCCUGCAGCGCAUGGCACCGUAGAUGGAGUUCGUGAAGUGUAUCUGCAGCACUUUGGCCCAUCUGGGCCACAGCCCCUGAAUUCCAGGGACCAGAGCCAUCACUCUCCUCUCCCUCACUCUCCUCUUACCCUGCCCACCUGCCUCAUGCACACAGACAGUGUGUCUGGAACUCCCUUUUCCGCCUCCCCACCUGCCCCUGAGAUGGCCGCUGCCCUGCUGCCUCUACCUACCCACUCCUCUAAGCCCCAUUCCCAGCGGCUGACAGGCCUGACCACUGAUCUGCCACCUCCCUCAGGGCCAGUCGGAGACCCUCAGACCAAGCUCCAAGGAACACACAGGCAUCACAGCCUCACACACUUUCCAAGGGGACAAGGAAGAAGGGGCCAUACAUCAUGUGCAGAAGCAAAUGGGCCAGAGAAUGAGGCCAGGGAAUCCAAGGAGGAGAAGAGUCUAGGCUAGACCUGAGGCCAGAAUGAAGACAGCCAGACACCCACAUCCAGGCCAACAGGCCAGCAUCCAACCCCACUAGCCAGAGAAACCAAGACUUUCAUAAUAGGUCUGGUGGGAAGGAAGCUCAAUUUAACAAAGUCAAACAACCGAAUGCACAAGGCACCGGGCUGCGCAGGACACUACCAAGGAGCCUUUGGAAAGGAAGACUCAAAGAAACAAGGAAAUACCUAUUUUUGUGCUGAGCCUGCAGAAGUGGACGGCUGUGAGGAAGGAGGACUGGACAAGGCGGGUGUGAUCUAACGGUAACAAACUGAGGGGAGUUAGCAAGGCCAGUUCGUUCAGAGUCUUGUUGUCCGUGUCUCUGAGGAUUAGGAUGUUCCUACUGUCCCUUUCCUCUGGGUUUCGGGAGGGUAACUGUGGCGUGAGGAAAUUAUGGCUUGCUUUGGGGAGAAGGGCCAGAGGGAAGUGAGAGUGACCUUCCUGCUUCUGCUGUUUUGUCAAAUGCCAAGGUGCCAUAUUUGGAGGUCAUGUGUCCUGAACCCCACCAGGAGGAAGUGAUUAAAUCAGCCAGGAAGGCAGGCAAAUCAGAGAACGUGACCCCCCCCAACUCCCACCAGGGCAGAGCCUGCGUUUCAGGAAGAAGGCACUUAGAGAAGGUGGAGUGGCCCAGAGGCUACAAUCUCAUAGCACAUCUAGGAACCUCCAGCCACCCCCCUGGGGCAGGAGUAGGACUAGCGUCUUAACCAGAGGAGUGACAGGCUCAGCUUGACCAUUCUGUAGCUCAGUCCCAUAGGUGUGCAGAGAAUGAGGUGGGGGAGGGAAAUGGGCACAAAGAGUGGGGAAGAGCAGUCAUCCAAGCCAGCAGGGCUACACUGAAAGCAGAAAGGGGGAACCAGUCAGGAAACCGUCUACAGAGUUUGGUGCUUGCCUGGAUGUGGCAGCCGGGACCAGAGAAGAAUGUAGGGAUGACAGCUGGCAGGGAGAAGGAAAGGGGAAGGGAACUAAGGGGACUGAGGUACA